AUAUAUUACUUAUGCUUGCAUAAUUAAGUUUCUAAUCCGUUUUGUUUUAUUUUUCUUGCUGCUGACUAUAAGUUUAUGGUCAACGAAUGGCUUUUCUGAGGUAUACGUGACAUUGUUUACAACACUGAUUGAACUGACAUGAUAUAGAUUUUGGUAAGCUACUGCAACUUUCAACAUAUUCUUUGAUUUUCAUUCAUAUUUAUUUCCUUCUGUAAAAUAGCUAGUAAAGAGGAAGAGAUGAUCGCGUUCACUCACGAUCCCCAAAAAGUGUUCAAGAUGAAAACUGAGAAGUGACGCAGUCUUUAACUUCUUUUCAUGAUAUAAAUAAAUGCAUAGCUUAGGCCUAUUUGUUUAUCCUAUAAGUUUGUGAAUAAAUAUGAAAAUGCGAAGCUAUUAAAUGUCUUAACAUUAAAAUAUAAAAAUUAAUAUGACAGAACGAAAAAAAUGCUAUUAACAAUCGUGCAUUGCGCAAAAGUAUUAUAAUAUGAACGGCUCCCAUACAGAGCGGCACAAAGCGGUUAUGCGCAUCCCGUGUGCAGAAUGAUGCGCUUGAAGCAUCAUGGAGUCACGGCGCUCCGCAUUGAAAAGUUCAAAGCACAAAGAGAAGAUAUAUUGAUGGGUAUUGUAUUACCGUUAUCUUGAUGAAGUAUAAUAAUAGAAACAUUGAUUCAUCUUGGAGAGUGUUUCAUUGUGUUGACUGUCAUAACCGAACGCGACACGCAGUCUGAAUUCAUUAAUGCUGAAUGGAGAAUGACUGACUGCCGCAGCGGAGGGAGGCAUUUAGGCUACGUGAACUUUCAUUUAACGACUUAAAUAUUUAUCUGUACCUCAAAUUAAACUAUGGAAUGGCUUCAGAACACUUGGAAUAUAGUGCACAGAAACUUUAUGGUGCUUUUUUAAUGUUUUUGUGCCUUUUGUGGAGCUUAACAAUAACAGAAUAGUACACGCACAGUAUCGGAUUUGGAUCGGUGCACUCCGGCCGAUACCCGAUCCGGCAAAAAUGGCAGUAUCGGAGCCGAUACCGAUCUGAAUAUCGGAUCGGUGCAUCCCUAGUUUGCAUGUGUCAUUCAUUACUGUAAAAAAUCUACUUUUUAUUUUUUCAGUAGCAGAAGCAGAGACGGUCUGUGCAACAGCAACAAGGUGCGGGUCCAAACCCAUCUGUCAAGACGCUUGUCCACUUGCUGUCCACCCCACCAGCCCAACGAUUGUCCUGGAGAGCCUCUGACCACAAGUCAUAGAAAAAGAGAAUGUCAUUAUCAACUGGAACAGCUUGAGGGAGUACAGUGGUAGAGACAGAGAAGAAGUGCCCUUGACGAGGAAACCAUGGCAGCCAUAUAUACGUCAAGAAGAGAUUUCCAAAUGUGUCCAAAGAGGCUUUGAGGAUUUGAACUGGGGAAACUGAGACUUCUUGAAAGCAAAAAAGUUAUAUUUGUUUGAAUAUUGUAAUUUUUUUGAACAUUGUAAAGUAUGUUCCUUGCUGAUUAUUAUUCAAAUGUUCACUUGUUAUAGACAACAAAUAAAAGUUUUUCAAAUGUGACAUGUGAAUGUAUUUUCUUGGGUUGAAAUAUAU
Molecule: long non-coding RNA, 1570 nt
Organism: Megalobrama amblycephala (Wuchang bream)
Lineage: Eukaryota; Metazoa; Chordata; Actinopteri; Cypriniformes; Xenocyprididae
Exons: 5
Source: RefSeq, a predicted model, not a curated record